GGCUUGGUGGUCUAGUGGUAUGAUUCUCGCUUUGGGUGCGAGAGGUCCCGGGUUCAAUCCCCGGCCAAGCCC
Molecule: transfer RNA, 72 nt
Filed under: Fusarium vanettenii 77-13-4
Lineage: Eukaryota; Fungi; Ascomycota; Sordariomycetes; Hypocreales; Nectriaceae
Description: tRNA-Pro (TGG) (tRNA-Pro-TGG-1-1)
Rfam family: tRNA
About the family: Transfer RNA (tRNA) molecules are approximately 80 nucleotides in length.
Source: RNAcentral